Meriones unguiculatus (Mongolian gerbil) is the source of this 2264-nucleotide long non-coding RNA. RefSeq lists it as uncharacterized. The transcript has 3 exons. The record is from RefSeq and is a predicted model, not a curated record. NCBI's taxonomy places the organism in Eukaryota, Metazoa, Chordata, Mammalia, Rodentia, Muridae.
UAUGAAGCCCCUAUGGGCUGGCAUGUCCUCUCUGGAGGGCUGGCACACUCAGGGGGCACCCUGGGCAGUAGAGUGACACCUGUCCCACAGAGGUAGGAUGGGGGCCCAGGCCUGUUAUCAGACUGACUAUGGUGUGAAGGCAGGAGCAUCAAGAGUUCCGGGCCAGCCUGGGCUACCAGAGACCUUGUCUCAAAACAACAAAAAAAAGACGGUUUGUAUAUAAGUACAAGGCAGUAAUACCUGUGGUCAGUAGGUUGAGGCAGGUGGACGUCAGCCUGGUCUACACAGUGAGGUCUGAUGCAACCUGAGCUAUUGGGGCCCCUAUCUCAGAACAUCAAAGAGUUAAAGAGGGCUACAGGAGAUGGUGGCCGCCUCCGCCUUUAAUCCCAGCCCUCAGGAGGCAGAGACUGGAGAGUCUCUGAGUCUGAGGCCAGCCUGGUCUACAUGGCUCUGUGACAGCCAGGGCUACAUAGUGAGACCUGUGUCGUAAAUAAAAAGUAAGAGUUCCCAGGUCCUAGUGCCAUCCCAGCACCUGGAGGGGCUGAGGCAGGAGGAUUGUUGCAACUUCAGCACCAACCUGGGGCCUGGUUUACAGAGUGAAACCUGUCUAAAAAAAUAAAAUCUGAAAUAAAUAUGCCCGGCAUGGUAACACACACUUUUAGUUCCAGCACUCAGGAGGUGGACCUCUGUGAGCUCACGGCCAGCCUGGUCUACAGAGUGAGCCCCAGAACAGCCAGGGCUACACAAGGAGCCCUGUCUCAAAAAUCAUAAUAAUAAAAUAAAUACAUAAAAGGAAAAUAGUUCCCUGGCUAAUAUCUAUUAGCCUAACAUUUCAGAUCAAGCUGAGGUGAAGCAGGAGGGUUCCUACAAUUCCGGGCCGGUAUGAACCCUAUAGCAAGACCCUGUCUCAAACAGUCCCAGGACACAUGGGGACAAAUAACAUCGAGAGCCAUGCUCACAUGACCUGUGAGGCUAGAGAGGAGAAACAAGGCUUGGCCAGGCCACUGCAAUGUCACUGCAGUGAGCCCCAGUGAGGAGCUGGGUGCCUUCCCCAGCCACAGAAGGCAGAUGAGGGGAAGAGGGAGCCAUGGAGACUCCAGGCCUCACGAGACAGGGCCAAAGCCCUGGGUCAGGACUCAGACUCCACUACUCCAGAGGCAGGAGGCCAAGUGCUGACCUAGACCCUGCUCAUGAUGGGGCUUUCAUAAAGUUUCCACUGUUGGCCUGUGACAUUGUCUUAGUUUGUCCUAUAGAAACAGGGUCUCAUAUGGCCAAGGCUGGCCUGGCACUCUGUAGCAGAGGAUAACCCUGAACUCCUGAGCUUCCUGCAGCAGGCCAGCCUUCCCUGUCACCAUCCUCCUGUCCCACUUUGGGACAUACACACAGCCUUUCCGUGGCUUGCCAGCAGCCUCUGAUUCCAACACAGCCAGAGUGUCACAGCAGCAGCUGGCCCUGUGUGGCCACGUCCCUGCCCUGACUUCCCAGCCCCCCGGCAUGGCACAGUCUCUUUUGAACUAACUACUCAGUGCUAGCAUUGGCAGCCCAAGAUGACGGCACACCGGCAAGGUCAGCCAGCCACUGUGUGGACGGAGGAGCCAGAUACAGGCCUGGACGCUGGAGGUCAGGACAGGCUGCUGCCGACCCAGGAAUCACAGAGCUGCCUUUCAGCAUGGCAGCUGUUUCGAGACAGACAUUUGUCAGCUGGAUGGUGGUGGUGCAGGCCUUUAAUCCCAGCGAUCUGGAGGCAGAGGCAGGCAGAUCUCUGCGAGUUCACGGGCAGUCUGAUCUACAGAGACUGCUUCAGGACAGUCAGAGCUACGUAAGACCCCAAAAAGCCCAGAGAUGGAUGGAUGGAUGGAUAACAAACAAGCAAUUUUCUAUGCCAGGGAUGGUGGGCACACACCUGUCAUCCCUCUUGGAUGAGGCAGGAGGAUCACCUCCAGGCCGGGCAGUGUAGGCUUGCCAGGCCAUGGGUUCCCCAGUGCUGCAAAUGACAAAACCAACUGGCCACACACACAGGCCAGGGCUGCACCCUCCUCGGCCACCUUGGGGUUCCUGUUUCUCCACCACUCAGCCUCGACCCAUGGCGGCCGUGAGCUCCGCCCUCCCCACCCGUUGGUGCUGUGUGCAUUUAGGGUUUCAUGUAGUCCAGGCUGGCCCCCAACUCCUUCUGUAGCUGAGGCUGAGCCGGAAUACCUGAUGGAUGACAGCUGUCUGCCACCACACCUGGUUUUCGCAACACCGAGCCUGGCGCCCAGUGCCCC